This 626-nucleotide ribosomal RNA is filed under the name uncultured bacterium. RNAcentral describes it as "bacterial SSU rRNA". It matches the Rfam family "Bacterial small subunit ribosomal RNA", at positions 249 to 885 of the family's 1533-position model. The record is from RNAcentral.
UUGGUGGGGUGAUGGCCUACCAAGGCGAUGACGGGUAGCCGGCCUGAGAGGGCGACCGGCCACACUGGGACUGAGACACGGCCCAGACUCCUACGGGAGGCAGCAGUGGGGAAUAUUGCGCAAUGGGCGGAAGCCUGACGCAGCGACGCCGCGUGAGGGAUGACGGCCUUCGGGUUGUAAACCUCUUUCAGCAGGGACGAAGCGCAAGUGACGGUACCUGCAGAAGAAGCACCGGCCAACUACGUGCCAGCAGCCGCGGUAAUACGUAGGGUGCAAGCGCUGUCCGGAAUUAUUGGGCGUAAAGAGCUCGUAGGCGGCUUGUCACGUCGACUGUGAAAACCCGGGGCUCAACUCCGGGCCUGCAGUCGAUACGGGCUGGCUUGAGUGCGGUAGGGGAGACUGGAAUUCCUGGUGUAGCGGUGAAAUGCGCAGAUAUCAGGAGGAACACCGGUGGCGAAGGCGGGUCUCUGGGCCGUAACUGACGCUGAGGAGCGAAAGCGUGGGGAGCGAACAGGAUUAGAUACCCUGGUAGUCCACGCCGUAAACGUUGGGCGCUAGGUGUGGGGACCUAUCCACGGUCUCCGUGCCGCAGCUAACGCAUUAAGCGCCCCGCCUGGGGAGUACGG